GCCAGGCGCGGUGGCUCACGCCUGUAAUCCCAGCACUUUGGGAGGCCGAGGUGGGUGGAUCACCUGAGGUCAGGAGUUCAAGACCAGCCUGGCCAAUAUGGUGAAAACCCAUCUCUA
RNAcentral lists this non-coding RNA (117 nucleotides) under Pan paniscus (pygmy chimpanzee). RNAcentral also lists the same sequence under 1 other name. Lineage: Eukaryota; Metazoa; Chordata; Mammalia; Primates; Hominidae. The record is from Rfam by way of RNAcentral.